AAGUCGUAACAAGGUUUCCGUAGGUGAACCUGCGGAAGGAUCAUUAUAAAAUGCUUUAAACGCAUCCACCUUUUUGUGCACUUGACCAAGCCAGGCUCGUCCUUAUUGACGAACUUGGAUGACCCACACCUUUUGCCUGAAAAGUCUUUAUUUCAGAAAAAGAAAUAGAAAAUCUUAAACAAAAUACAACUUUUAACAACGGAUCUCUUGGCUCUCC
This 217-nucleotide unclassified non-coding RNA is filed under the name fungal sp. Its description in RNAcentral is "partial internal transcribed spacer region". The stretch from base 1 to 46 matches the Rfam family "Eukaryotic small subunit ribosomal RNA", at positions 1786 to 1831 of the family's 1831-position model. Lineage: Eukaryota; Fungi. The record is from RNAcentral.